This 231-nucleotide ribosomal RNA is filed under the name uncultured bacterium. Its description in RNAcentral is "partial 16S ribosomal RNA". It matches the Rfam family "Bacterial small subunit ribosomal RNA", at positions 99 to 334 of the family's 1533-position model. The record is from RNAcentral.
CGGACGGGUGAGUAAUGUCUGGGAAACUGCCCGAUGGAGGGGGAUAACUACUGGAAACGGUAGCUAAUACCGCAUAACGUCGCAAGACCAAGAGGGGGACCUUCGGGCCUCUUGCCAUCGGAUGUGCCCAGAUGGGAUUAGCUAGUAGGUGGGGUAACGGCUCACCUAGGCGACGAUCCCUAGCUGGUCUGAGAGGAUGAUCAGCCACACUGGGACUGAGACACGGCCCAG